RNAcentral lists this ribosomal RNA (377 nucleotides) under uncultured bacterium. RNAcentral describes it as "bacterial SSU rRNA". It matches the Rfam family "Bacterial small subunit ribosomal RNA", at positions 790 to 1167 of the family's 1533-position model. The record is from RNAcentral.
GUAGUCCUAGCCGUAAACGAUGGACACUGAGUGGAGGAGGGCUUGCCUUUCUCUGCUGCAGCUAACGCGUUAAGUGUCCCGCCUGGGGAGUACGGCCGCAAGGUUAAAACUCAAAGGAAUUGACGGGGGCUCGCACAAGCGGUGGAGCAUGUGGUUCAAUUCGAUGCAACGCGAAGAACCUUACCCGGGCUUGAAGUGGAGGUGGUAGAAACCGGAAACGGUAACGACCCCGCAAGGGGAGCCUUCAUCAGGUGUUGCAUGGCUGUCGUCAGCUCGUGUCGUGAGAUGUUGGGUUAAGUCCCGUAACGAGCGAAACCCUUGCGUCUAGUUGCUAACCGAAAGGUGCACUCUAGACGGACUGCCCGUGUCGAAUGGGA